RNAcentral lists this ribosomal RNA (440 nucleotides) under uncultured bacterium. Its description in RNAcentral is "partial 16S ribosomal RNA". It matches the Rfam family "Bacterial small subunit ribosomal RNA", at positions 338 to 795 of the family's 1533-position model. The record is from RNAcentral.
CCUACGGGAGGCAGCAGUAGGGAAUAUUGCUCAAUGGGGGAAACCCUGAAGCAGUAACGCCGCGUGGAGGAUGAAGGUUUUAGGAUUGUAAACUCCUUUUGUGAGAGAAGUUAAUGACGGUAUCUCACGAAUAAGCACUGGCUAACUCCGGGCCAGCAGCCGGGGUAAUACGGAGGGUGCAAGCGGUACUCGGAAGCACUGGGCUUAAAGAGCGCGCAGGCGGGCUUGUAAGUCAGAUGUGAAAUCCUGUGGCUUAACUACAGAACUGCAUUUGAAACUAUGAGUCUAGAGUGUGGGAGAGGUAGGUGGAAUUCGUGGUGUAGGGGUGAAAUCCGUAGAUAUCAAGAGGAAUACUCAUUGCGAAGGCGGCCUACUGGAACGUUACUGACGCUCAUGCACGAAAGCGUGGGGAGCAAACAGGAUUAGAUACCCGUGUAGUC